AUAUAUAUAUAUAUAUAAAACAAAAAACAUAAAUCCAAGGCAGAACUCAGGCCAAAAUACCACCAAAGACAGCCAACACUUUGGAGGAUGAUCGUAUACAAUUUAGUCAGAAAGGUACAUGGGCAAAAAAUCAUAGAAGGUGGGCCAGAUGGAUAUCUUCUGGUGAUACUGACAGGGCCACAGGUUGAACCAGAAGCCCAAGCGUGGGAGAAUGAAGUGUGUCUACAGAAUGACUAGGUCUCAAUGAGGAGGGCCAAAACUGGCGUAGCCAACUCCAAGGGCUCUGACUGAGGUGCCAGAGGAACAGACAGGAAAAGGGGAUCAGGACACAGACAUGAGCACGUACAGAGAAAAGGCUGUGCGAGGAGAAGGCUGCCAUCCGCAAGCCGAGGAGAGAGCUCUGAGAAAAAAAAAAAGAUCUUGCUGACACCUUCCUCUUGCACUUCCAGCCUCCAGGACUGUAAGAAAAGACAUUUCUGUUGUUUAAGCCACCAAGUAGUAUUUCGUUAUAGUAGUCCAAACAGACUAACGCACAAAUCAAAACUACUUUAGUCUUUCCACUUUGUUGCAAACGAUUGCAAGGUGUCCAGGUUUUCUGUCUUCCCCCAACCUACAAGUGCUCAGAGAACACUCAACCCCCAUGAUCUCAGCCAACACAUGAAGUCUGAUUUCACAAAACUUAGUGAUGUCCUCCCAGUGGAAUCCUAAAUGAUAAGGAAAAUGGUAUAGAGCCAAGACUCGAACGUUAACAACCCAGGAGCACAGAAACAGUAGAGUUAGCUGAGAGGCGUUAUGGAGAGAAGCAACGGAAUGCACACUGAGCGUUGUGACAAGCCCACGACAGUGGGGAACAGUGCCCACCGUCGCAAAAAGAAAGACCCUCGGCAGGUACUUUAGAGUCACGUUCAUGCCGUAAUAUGUGGGGAAGAAAGACUAUUCCAAAUGGAUCUGGCUCUUUAAAACAAGGCAAUUUUCCUUGCUUGGGAACCAGCAAAAUCCAGCUGCUCAUUGAACUGCCCAUCUGGAAUCUCACAAAUUUGCACCUUGAAGUUGUUAAUAAAGGACUAAGUUGAUAAUUCGAA
Cercocebus atys (sooty mangabey) is the source of this 1082-nucleotide long non-coding RNA. RefSeq lists it as uncharacterized. NCBI's taxonomy places the organism in Eukaryota, Metazoa, Chordata, Mammalia, Primates, Cercopithecidae. The transcript is spliced from 2 exons. The record is from RefSeq and is a predicted model, not a curated record.